RNAcentral lists this ribosomal RNA (253 nucleotides) under uncultured bacterium. RNAcentral describes it as "partial 16S ribosomal RNA". It matches the Rfam family "Bacterial small subunit ribosomal RNA", at positions 524 to 776 of the family's 1533-position model. The record is from RNAcentral.
UACAGAGGCCUCGAGCGUUGCGCGGAAUUACUGGGCUUAAAGGGUGCGUAGGCCGAUAUGCAAGUGCUUUGUGAAAUCCCAGAGCUUAACUCUGGAACUGCUUGGCAGACUGCAUGUCUUGAGGUCGGUAGGGGUUGCUGGAACGGUUGGUGGAGCGGUGAAAUGCGCAGAUAUCAGGAGGAACACCGGUGGCGAAGGCGGAUCUCUGGGCCUUACCUGACGCUCAGGCGCGAAAGCUAGGGGAGCGAACAGG